CCCACACCCCGUACGCAUGACAACAGACUCUAUACCUGCAAAAAGGAAACAAAACAACAGCAGCAACAGAGCAGUAGCGAAUGGAAGAAACAAUAUUUUUUGUACUCUUCUUUGAAACAUUCGGCUAUAAAGCCUAAAUGGAAAAUUUGUAAAAGGAGGGAUUUUUGCUAUGAAAACAAAGAUUUUCUUUCAAUAUUAACAGAUUGAAUACAAGAACCAUUCGAAAAUACAUAUACAAACAGGGGCUCUAACACCAAAUCGGAGAAUCAAAUCUAAAACCUAAGGUGACCUUUUUUUCUUUUUUUCUUUACUGUUUUAAGUUUGUUUUUUACAUAAAAAUACUAAAAAAUAUCAAAACAUAAAAACAUAUGUAUUAUUAAGCAAAAAAAAAAAAGAAAUUUUACCUUUUCCGGCCACCGCGUGCGGUGGCCGGCGCCGGCGCCGGCAACGGUCCGGCGAUCGGAC
Molecule: long non-coding RNA, 465 nt
Filed under: Gossypium barbadense (sea-island cotton)
Lineage: Eukaryota; Viridiplantae; Streptophyta; Magnoliopsida; Malvales; Malvaceae
Description: long non-coding RNA (GBAR_LNC009669)
Source: RNAcentral